UGGGGAAUUUUGGACAAUGGGCGCAAGCCUGAUCAAGCCAUGCCGCGUGCAGGAUGAAGGCCUUCGGGUUGUAAACUGCUUUUGUACGGAACGAAAAGGUUUCUUUUAAUACAGGGAACUGAUGACGGUACCGUAAGAAUAAGCACCGGCU
Molecule: ribosomal RNA, 151 nt
Filed under: uncultured Pseudacidovorax sp.
Lineage: Bacteria; Pseudomonadati; Pseudomonadota; Betaproteobacteria; Burkholderiales; Comamonadaceae
Description: partial 16S ribosomal RNA
Rfam family: Bacterial small subunit ribosomal RNA
Source: RNAcentral